UACGGAGGAUCCAAGCGUUAUCCGGAAUCAUUGGGUUUAAAGGGUGCGUAGGUGGGUCUGUAAGUCAGUGGUGAAAUCUCCGAGCUUAACUCGGAAACUGCCAUUGAUACUAUAGGUCUUGAAUUAUCUGGAGGUAAGCGGAAUAUGUCAUGUAGCGGUGAAAUGCUUAGAUAUGACAUAGAACACCAAUUGCGAAGGCAGCUUACUACGGAUUAUUGACACUGAGGCACGAAAGCUGGGGAUCAAACAGG
RNAcentral lists this ribosomal RNA (251 nucleotides) under uncultured bacterium. Its description in RNAcentral is "partial 16S ribosomal RNA". It matches the Rfam family "Bacterial small subunit ribosomal RNA", at positions 524 to 776 of the family's 1533-position model. The record is from RNAcentral.